Long non-coding RNA from Trifolium pratense (red clover), 330 nucleotides. RefSeq lists it as uncharacterized. The record is from RefSeq and is a predicted model, not a curated record. The transcript has 2 exons. Lineage: Eukaryota; Viridiplantae; Streptophyta; Magnoliopsida; Fabales; Fabaceae.
AUUCCCGUUAAAUAAGGAGAGAAUCCUUGCGGAAACAGAGAAGUUUCAGAGAGAGAGAAGAAGAAGAAGAGUACAGGGAUUGGAAACUGAGGAGCUCGAGGCUCUAUAUAUUAAGGGAAGGAGUGGAAAAGGGAAGUGGCUAUAAACGUCUGUGAUGAGUAAGGAAGGAACAAUGUCAUGUGGCCUUACAGCAAGCAGUCGGUGAGGUUUUAAAUUAUUUGGCAGAAUUGGAAUUACUACUGCUUAUGGUUAAAUUAGUAAAUCAAAAUUGUUUGACUUAUGGAAUGGAGUUUGAACAAGAAUGUGUGAUUUUUUGUGCCUUUGGUAAAA